Molecule: ribosomal RNA, 533 nt
Filed under: Lodderomyces orthopsilosis
Lineage: Eukaryota; Fungi; Ascomycota; Pichiomycetes; Serinales; Debaryomycetaceae
Description: Candida orthopsilosis partial large subunit ribosomal RNA
Rfam family: Eukaryotic large subunit ribosomal RNA
Source: RNAcentral
AGCUCAAAUUUGAAAUCUGGCACUUUCAGUGUCCGAGUUGUAAUUUGAAGAAGGUAUCUUUGGGUCUGGCUCUUGUCUAUGUUUCUUGGAACAGAACGUCACAGAGGGUGAGAAUCCCGUGCGAUGAGAUGACCCAGACCUAUGUAAAGUUCCUUCGAAGAGUCGAGUUGUUUGGGAAUGCAGCUCUAAGUGGGUGGUAAAUUCCAUCUAAAGCUAAAUAUUGGCGAGAGACCGAUAGCGAACAAGUACAGUGAUGGAAAGAUGAAAAGAACUUUGAAAAGAGAGUGAAAAAGUACGUGAAAUUGUUGAAAGGGAAGGGCUUGAGAUCAGACUUGGUAUUUUGUAUGUUACUCUCUCGGGGGUGGCCUCUACAGUUUACCGGGCCAGCAUCAGUUUGGGCGGUAGGACAAUUGCAAAGAAAUGUGGCACUGCCUCGGUAGUGUGUUAUAGUCUUUGUCGAUACUGCCAGCCUAGACUGAGGACUGCGGCUUCGGCCUAGGAUGUUGGCAUAAUGAUCUUAAGUCGCCCGUCUU